UACGAAGGGCGCAAGCGUUGUUCGGAUUUACUGGGCGUAAAGGGUGUGUAGGCGGUUAUGCAAGUUGGAUGUGAAAGCCCUGGGCUUAACUCAGGAAUAGCAUUCAAGACUGCAUGACUAGAGUAUGGAAGAGGUUGGUGGAAUUCCUAGUGUAGAGGUGAAAUUCGUAGAUAUUAGGAAGAACACCCGUGGCGAAGGCGGCCAACUGGUCCAUAACUGACGCUGAGACACGAAAGCGUGGGGAGCAAACAGG
Molecule: ribosomal RNA, 253 nt
Filed under: uncultured bacterium
Lineage: Bacteria
Description: partial 16S ribosomal RNA
Rfam family: Bacterial small subunit ribosomal RNA
Source: RNAcentral